GACGAACGCUGGCGGCGUGCCUAAUACAUGCAAGUCGAGCGGACUUGAUGAAGUGCUUGCACUUCUGAUGGUUAGCGGCGGACGGGUGAGUAACACGUAGGUAACCUGCCUAUAAGACUGGGAUAACAUUCGGAAACGAAUGCUAAUACCGGAUACGCGAAUUGGUCGCAUGGCCGAAUCGGGAAAGACGGAGCAAUCUGUCACUUAUAGAUGGACCUGCGGCGCAUUAGCUAGUUGGUGAGGUAACGGCUCACCAAGGCGACGAUGCGUAGCCGACCUGAGAGGGCGAUCGGCCACACUGGGACUGAGACACGGCCCAGACUCCUACGGGAGGCAGCAGUAGGGAAUCUUCCGCAAUGGACGAAAGUCUGACGGAGCAACGCCGCGUGAGUGAUGAAGGUUUUCGGAUCGUAAAGCUCUGUUGCCAGGGAAGAACGCUUGGGAGAGUAACUGCUCUCAAGGUGACGGUACCUGAGAAGAAAGCCCCGGCUAACUACGUGCCAGCCGCCGCCGUAA
This 516-nucleotide ribosomal RNA is filed under the name uncultured bacterium. Its description in RNAcentral is "partial 16S ribosomal RNA". It matches the Rfam family "Bacterial small subunit ribosomal RNA", at positions 28 to 523 of the family's 1533-position model. The record is from RNAcentral.